This 434-nucleotide ribosomal RNA is filed under the name uncultured Gammaproteobacteria bacterium. Its description in RNAcentral is "bacterial SSU rRNA". It matches the Rfam family "Bacterial small subunit ribosomal RNA", at positions 38 to 476 of the family's 1533-position model. Lineage: Bacteria; Pseudomonadati; Pseudomonadota; Gammaproteobacteria. The record is from RNAcentral.
GGCGGCAGGCCUAACACAUGCAAGUCGAGCGGAUGACAGGAGCUUGCUCCUGAAUUCAGCGGCGGACGGGUGAGUAAUGCCUAGGAAUCUGCCUGGUAGUGGGGGACAACGUUUCGAAAGGAACGCUAAUACCGCAUACGUCCUACGGGAGAAAGCAGGGGACCUUCGGGCCUUGCGCUAUCAGAUGAGCCUAGGUCGGAUUAGCUAGUUGGUGAGGUAAUGGCUCACCAAGGCGACGAUCCGUAACUGGUCUGAGAGGAUGAUCAGUCACACUGGAACUGAGACACGGUCCAGACUCCUACGGGAGGCAGCAGUGGGGAAUAUUGGACAAUGGGCGAAAGCCUGAUCCAGCCAUGCCGCGUGUGUGAAGAAGGUCUUCGGAUUGUAAAGCACUUUAAGUUGGGAGGAAGGGUUGUAGAUUAAUACUCUGCAAU